This 365-nucleotide transfer-messenger RNA is filed under the name Weissella paramesenteroides. It matches the Rfam family "transfer-messenger RNA". Rfam says of the family: Bacterial tmRNA, also known as 10Sa RNA or SsrA, is named for its dual tRNA and mRNA-like properties. RNAcentral also lists the same sequence under 2 other names. The record is from RNAcentral. Lineage: Bacteria; Bacillati; Bacillota; Bacilli; Lactobacillales; Lactobacillaceae.
GGGGUCGUUACGGAAUCGACUGGCAUUGUUUGGGCCGGUACUGCGUUUAGGGGUUGUGGCCCUAUAAUCCACUCAGUAGAAUUAACUGCAAAAAAUUCAAACAAUAAUUACGCAUUAGCUGCCUAAAAACCAGCUAGCGUUGCUUAUAGUUGUAUUAGUUGUGUGCUACUAUAAGUCUAAAAAUGAACAACCUGCGCUAAAUUCUCUCCGUCUGGGGCAAUUUAGAAGAGGAUAAUCAGACUAACUAAUUCGAUCGCUUAGCAAAACAGCGUGCGAUUAGCGAAUUUUAAAUUGUUUUGCUAUGAACGUAGAUGUAUCGGUUGCAAGAUGUUAGGACAGGGGUUCAACUCCCCUCGGCUCCAUAG